UACGUAGGGGGCAAGCGUUGUCCGGAUUUAUUGGGCGUAAAGAGCGUGUAGGCGGCCUUACAGGUCAGCUGUGAAAACUCGAGGCUCAACCUCGAGACGUCGGUUGAAACCGUAUGGCUAGAGUCCGGAAGAGGAGAGUGGAAUUCCCGGUGUAGCGGUGAAAUGCGCAGAUAUCGGGAAGAACACCCGUGGCGAAGGCGGCUCUCUGGGCCUGACCUGACGCUGAGGAGCGAAAGCGUGGGGAGCGAACAGG
RNAcentral lists this ribosomal RNA (253 nucleotides) under uncultured bacterium. Its description in RNAcentral is "partial 16S ribosomal RNA". It matches the Rfam family "Bacterial small subunit ribosomal RNA", at positions 524 to 776 of the family's 1533-position model. The record is from RNAcentral.